This 400-nucleotide ribosomal RNA is filed under the name uncultured Olsenella sp. RNAcentral describes it as "bacterial SSU rRNA". It matches the Rfam family "Bacterial small subunit ribosomal RNA", at positions 356 to 774 of the family's 1533-position model. The record is from RNAcentral. Lineage: Bacteria; Bacillati; Actinomycetota; Coriobacteriia; Coriobacteriales; Atopobiaceae.
GGGGAAUUUUGGGCAAUGGGGGGAACCCUGACCCAGCGACGCCGCGUGAGGGAAGACAGCCUUCGGGUUUUAAACCUCUUUUGUACGGGAAGAUAAUGACGGUACUGUACGAAUAAGUCCCGGCUAACUACGUGCCAGCAGCCGCGGUAAUACGUAGGGGGCGAGCGUUAUCCGGAUUCAUUGGGCGUAAAGCGCGCGUAGGCGGCCUGUUAGGUCGGGAGUCAAAUCCGGGGGCUCAACCCCCGCCCGCUCCCGAUACCGGCGGGCUUGAGGCUGGUAGGGGAAGGCGGAAUUCCAAGUGUAGCGGUGGAAUGCGCAGAUACUUGGAAGAACACCGGUGGCGAAGGCGGCCUUCUGGGCCACGACUGACGCUGAGGCGCGAAAGCUAGGGGAGCGAACA